This 253-nucleotide ribosomal RNA is filed under the name uncultured bacterium. RNAcentral's name for it is "partial 16S ribosomal RNA". It matches the Rfam family "Bacterial small subunit ribosomal RNA", at positions 524 to 776 of the family's 1533-position model. The record is from RNAcentral.
UACGUAGGAUGCAAGCGUUGUCCGGAAUUAUUGGGCGUAAAGAGCUCGUAGGCGGUCUGUCGCGUCUGCUGUGAAAUCCCGAGGCUCAACCUCGGGCUUGCAGUGGGUACGGGCAGGCUAGAGUGCGGUAGGGGAGAAUGGAACUCCUGGUGUAGCGGUGGAAUGCGCAGAUAUCAGGAAGAACACCGAUGGCGAAGGCAGUUCUCUGGGCCGUAACUGACGCUGAGGAGCGAAAGCGUGGGGAGCGAACAGG